This 874-nucleotide long non-coding RNA is filed under the name Coturnix japonica (Japanese quail). RNAcentral describes it as "lncRNA (ENSCJPG00005001832.1)". Lineage: Eukaryota; Metazoa; Chordata; Aves; Galliformes; Phasianidae. The record is from RNAcentral.
GGUUAGGGGUCUACCUGGUCCAAUGUUGUUAUAUGGGUCCCUAUGGGUUCCCUAUGGGUCGCCCUAUUGUCUACUAUGGGUCCCUAUGUGUCCCUAUGGGGUCCCUAUGGGUCCCUAUGGGGUUUCUAUGGGUCUCUAUGGGUCCCUAUGGGUCCCUAUGGGUCCCUAUGGGUCCCUAUGGGGUUUCUAUGGGUCCCUAUGGGGUCCCUAUGGGUCCGUACCUUCUCCCAGUGUCUUCCCCGUCCUCACUCUCUGCUGUUCCACCAUCACGUCCCGCAGCCGCACGCGGAGAUCGGCCCCGACACCCAGGGAGCGCACUGCGGGGUUAUGGGGUAUGGGGGGUAUGGGGUGUUGUUAUGGGCUAUGGGGUGCUAUGGGGUAUGGGGUGCUAUGGGGUUAUGGGGCACUCACAGAUCGGCCCCGACACCCAGGGAGCGCACUGCGGGGUUAUGGGGUAUGGGGGUAUUGGGGUCCAUAGGGCGUCAUUAUGGGCUAUGGGGUGCUAUGGGGUGCUAUGGGGUGUUGUUAUGGGCUAUGGGGUGUUGUUAUGGGGUCUAUGGGGUAUUCAGGGCUAUGGGGUGUGGUUAUGGGGUGUUGUUAUGGGGUGUCAUUAUGGGCUAUGGGGUGCUAUGGGGUAUGGGGUGCUAUGGGGUAUGGGGUGUUGUUAUGGGGUGUUGUUAUGGGCUAUGGGGUGUUAUGGGGUAUGGGGUGUUGUUAUGGGGUGUUAUGGGGUAUUCAGGGGUAUGGGGUGUUAUGGGUUAUGGGGUGCUAUGGGGUAUUCAGGGCUAUGGGGUGUGGUUAUGGGGUGUUGUUAUGGGCUACGGGGUGUCGUUAUGGGCUAUGGGGUGUGGUUAUGGGGUGUGGUUAUGGGGUG